AGAAGAGGAAAGUCGUAACAAGGUAAGCCUACCGGAAGGUGGUCUUGGAAUCAGAAUAUAGCUUAAUAAAAGCAUUUUGCUUACACCAAAAAAAUAUCCACUAGAUUAUUCUGACACUGUAAAUUUAGCCUUUCAUUUUUUCCUUUUUUCCCCACCAUUAAACCAUUUAAAUUAUAUUAGUACGAGUGACAGAAAAUUUAAUAGCGCAAUAAAUAAAGUACUGUAAAGGAAAAAUGAAAUAGAAAUUAAAUAAACCACAAAAGUAUUAAAAAGCAAAGACUAAUACUUAUACCUUUUGCAUAAUGGUCUAGCAAGUCUAACCCAACAAAAAUAUUUAUGUCGGAAACCCCGAAACCAGAUGAGCUACCUACGAGCAACACACCAGAAUAAUUCCUUCUCUGUAGCAAAAGAGAGUGAAAGACUCUUAGGUAGAGGCGAAAACCCAAACGAAUCUGGAAAUAGCUGGUUACUUGGGAAAUGAAUUAAGUUCAACUAAAAGCAAGGAUACCAAAAAGGAUACAUAAAGCUUUUAAUAUAAUAAAUUAGGGUACAGCCUAUUCUAUAAAGGAGACAGCCUACACAUAUGAAUAAAGAUUAAACCUAUAACUAAGUAGGCCUAAAAGCAGCCACCAAAAAAGCGUCACAGCUUGAUUAUAUAUUUUAAAAUAUUAAAAUAAAUUAUCUAAAUUCAACUAAACAACCAAGUUAAUCUAUUUUUAGAUAAACUACUACUAGAAUAAGUAAUAAGGAACACCUCUCAAUACAUAUGUAAAUCAGAACGGACCAUCACCGAUAAUUAACGAAAACAUUUAAUUAAACAAGAAACCAAAUCCUACAUACCGUUUACCCAACACAGGUGUAUAAAAGAAAGACUUAAAGCUUGAGAAGGAACUCGGCAAACCCAGGCUUCGCCUGUUUACCAAAAACAUCGCCUUUCGAUAAAUAAAUAUGAAAGGUCCUGCCUGCCCAGUGAUAAUUAUUCAACGGCCGCGGUAUUAUGACCGUGCAAAGGUAGCAUAAUCACUUGUCUUUUAAAUUGAGACCAGCAUGAAUGGCAAAACGAAAGCCAAACUGUCUCCUUAGGCUAGUCAAUGAAAUUGAUCUUCCCGUGCAGAAGCGGGAGUAAAAAUAUAAGACGAGAAGACCCUAUGGAGCUUAAAAAUAAAGCUAUAUAGACGCUAUAAUAACAUUAAAUUUAGGUUGGGGCGACCAUGAGGUAAAAUAUAACCCUCAAGAUAAUAAUUAGAAGGACACUUCAAAUAAAAUAAAAUUUAUAAAUGACCCAAAAAUGAUCAACGAACCAAGUUACCCUAGGGAUAACAGCGCAAUCCAUUCCCAAAGCCCAUAUCGAAGAAUGGGUUUACGACCUCGAUGUUGGAUCAGGACCCCC
Molecule: ribosomal RNA, 1390 nt
Filed under: Chiropterotriton miquihuanus (Miquihuana splayfoot salamander)
Lineage: Eukaryota; Metazoa; Chordata; Amphibia; Caudata; Plethodontidae
Description: partial large subunit ribosomal RNA
Rfam family: Bacterial large subunit ribosomal RNA
Source: RNAcentral